GGCCAUGACGGUGGGUUUGGUGAAGCGCAUUAAUAAAAGGACCAGGAGGACGAUGCUGAGCAAAGCUAUCACCACCUUACAGGCCGUCAGCUGCCCCUCAAAAUCUGGGAGAUUCUCAACUGGAGACAAACAGACAAUAUUCUCUAAAGUCUUAAUGAUAACAUCAUGCAAAUCUUGAGAAGAACGCCUCUGGAGAGACCUGACCCACCAUCCCAUCUGUGUGGACAGAUAAAAAAAAACAACCUCAAGACAAAAAGAACGUACCAAGGGCGUUUACAGAACAGCAGAGAACGUGAAAAACUGGUUGUGUUCAUCUGGAUAACAAUCUGCUCAGAAUAAUAAGACGUGUAGCAAAUGACCCACUUCAUAACUUUUUUAAAAAAUUGCCAAUGGGGAAAACCAGGGAGCAGAGUAACGUAAAUUCAUUCAAGCCAAUUAUAAAAAAAAUA
Molecule: long non-coding RNA, 449 nt
Organism: Xiphophorus maculatus (southern platyfish)
Lineage: Eukaryota; Metazoa; Chordata; Actinopteri; Cyprinodontiformes; Poeciliidae
Exons: 2
Source: RefSeq, a predicted model, not a curated record